ACAGCCUGAAAAUAGCCACAGGGGAGUCUAUGCCUGUGGUUAGAUAUCUGUGCCCACAGCGAAUCGAGGAGCAUAGUAAGUAGCCGUCGGUGACACCCACACAGACCGGCGAAAGGAGUGCUCCCACAUUC
Callorhinchus milii (elephant shark) is the source of this 131-nucleotide small nucleolar RNA. RefSeq annotates it as small nucleolar RNA ACA64. NCBI's taxonomy places the organism in Eukaryota, Metazoa, Chordata, Chondrichthyes, Chimaeriformes, Callorhinchidae. The record is from RefSeq and is a predicted model, not a curated record. The transcript has a single exon.